CCUACGGGAGGCAGCAGUGGGGAAUAUUGCACAAUGGGCGAAAGCCUGAUGCAGCAACGCCGCGUGAGUGAAGAAGGCCUUCGGGUUGUAAAGCUCUGUCUUCUGGGACGAUAAUGACGGUACCAGAGGAGGAAGCCACGGCUAACUACGUGCCAGCAGCCGCGGUAAU
This 169-nucleotide ribosomal RNA is filed under the name uncultured Clostridium sp. RNAcentral describes it as "partial 16S ribosomal RNA". It matches the Rfam family "Bacterial small subunit ribosomal RNA", at positions 338 to 524 of the family's 1533-position model. The record is from RNAcentral. Lineage: Bacteria; Bacillati; Bacillota; Clostridia; Eubacteriales; Clostridiaceae.